UCGGGAAUUUUGGGCAAUGGGCGAAAGCCUGACCCAGCAACGCCGCGUGGAGGAUGAAGUCCCUCGGGAUGUAAACUUCGUAAGAAUAGGAAGAAUAAAUGACGGUACUAUUUGUAAGGUCCGGCUAACUACGUGCCAGCAGCCGCGGUAAUACGUAGGGACCAAGCGUUGUUCGGAUUUACUGGGCGUAAAGGGUGCGUAGGCGGCAUAUCAAGUCACUUGUGAAAUCUCCGGGCUUAACUCGGAACUGCCAAGUGAUACUGAUGUGCUAGAGUGCAGAAAGGGCAACUGGAAUUCUUGGUGUAGCGGUGAAAUGCGUAGAUAUCAAGAGGAACACCUGAGGUGAAGACGGGUUGCUGGGCUGACACUGACGCUGAGGCGCGAAAGCCAGGGGAGCAAACGGGAUUAGAUACCCUGGUAGUCCCUGAGCGGGCUGGCAAGGCGCAU
RNAcentral lists this ribosomal RNA (447 nucleotides) under uncultured bacterium. RNAcentral's name for it is "bacterial SSU rRNA". It matches the Rfam family "Bacterial small subunit ribosomal RNA", at positions 355 to 825 of the family's 1533-position model. The record is from RNAcentral.